RNAcentral lists this unclassified non-coding RNA (1091 nucleotides) under Hevea brasiliensis (rubber tree). Lineage: Eukaryota; Viridiplantae; Streptophyta; Magnoliopsida; Malpighiales; Euphorbiaceae. The record is from RNAcentral.
UAUUUAAGCAAAUGCCAUCAAAGUAAGCACUUCUUUGUUUAACUGUGGGUAAAUGGGCAUAGAGUUUUUUAGACUGUGCAUGUCCCCAUUAGAAGAGAGAAAUGCAGAUCUAAUCCUGUCCCUUACAGAGCUUCUUCAAGAUCUUUUGAAGGUGUAGGUGAAACCAACGCUUCAUUGAAAGCUAUUGUUGUAUUAAAAUAGCAGGAAACUAAUUUAAUGAAUAACUUUAAUGUUGUUGACAGCCACUAUUUCAUUAGAUUUCUGCUGCAUUUUUAAAUUAUUGUAAAGGGAUCCUAAUGAGUGUGACAUAAAUUUAUAAUUUUAAGAAUGUUGUGUUACUGUUUGAAAGCAAGGAUUUGAAUGAGGAUAAGAUACAUCAAAAUUACCUUUCUAUAAAUUAUGGAUACAUGGUAUUUUCAGUCUGAACUCAGAGAUGUUAAAGUUCCAUUACAUCGGGCGAGGACCAAUUUGUGGUGUGGCAUUCGAGGAGAUUGAAACUAUUAUUUGAUUGAUUAGUUACCUAUGAUGAUAGGCUUCCUUUUAUGAUAUGGUGUAUAAAUGUUCAUGUGUUCCUGCCAAAGUAGCUCUUUCUAGGACUUUAUGCUUGAUUGGGAGUUUUGGAGCCAAUUCAUUCUUUUUUACUUGGGUGGAGGGAGAGUUCUUGAUACAUGUAAAAUGUUUGAGACUUUGCAAGUUGGCAUAAGUUCUGUUUAGAAAGAGAUGUAUCUCAGUCAGGAGAGCUAAAAUGUGCAGCUUGACAUGGUGAUCAUGGUUUGAGAGUAAUAUUACUAAAUUUCUAGUAUUGGAGCAAUGAUAAUGUACUAAAUACUCUUAUUCUGUGCAAUCUUUUGCUCAGAUGGUUGACUAGUCCUCUCUCUUAAAUUUUUCAUUCUCUUUGCAUGCCUAAUAUUUCUUUGGAUAUGAGGUGGAUGCUCUUCUAUGCAUCUUGUGUACAUAUGGGUUUCAUUCUCUUAGCUUUCUUGUGGCAAAAUUUAUGAUAUAUUACCUAUUAUUGAUAUCAUCCUCUUGAUAACUAGUUCAUUUAUUUUAUUAUGUUGUCCGUUCAGGUCUGUUUUGUACUUCAUCGUGUG